GAUGAACGCUGGCGGCGUGCUUAACACAUGCAAGUCGAACGAAGCACUUUAUUUGAUUUCCUUCGGGACUGAUUAUUUUGUGACUGAGUGGCGGACGGGUGAGUAACGCGUGGGUAACCUGCCUUGUACAGGGGGAUAACAGUUGGAAACGGCUGCUAAUACCGCAUAAGCGCACGGCAUCGCAUGAUGCAGUGUGAAAAACUCCGGUGGUAUAAGAUGGACCCGCGUUGGAUUAGCUAGUUGGUGAGGUAACGGCCCACCAAGGCGACGAUCCAUAGCCGACCUGAGAGGGUGACCGGCCACAGUGGGACUGAGACACGGCCCAAACUCCUACGGGAGGCAGCAGUGGGGAAUAUUGCACAAUGGGCGAAGGCCUGAUGCAGCGACGCCGCGUGAGCGAAGAAGUAUUUCGGUAUGUAAAGCUCUAUCAGCAGGGAAGAUAAUGACGGUACCUGACUAAGAAGCACCGGCUAAAUACGUG
Molecule: ribosomal RNA, 481 nt
Filed under: uncultured bacterium
Lineage: Bacteria
Description: partial 16S ribosomal RNA
Rfam family: Bacterial small subunit ribosomal RNA
Source: RNAcentral